ACGUAGGGCGCGAGCGUUGUCCGGAAUUAUUGGGCGUAAAGAGCUUGUAGGCGGUUUGUCGCGUCUGCUGUGAAAGGCCGGAGCUUAACUCCGUGUAUUGCAGUGGGUACGGGCAGACUAGAGUGCAGUAGGGGAGACUGGAAUUCCUGGUGUAGCGGUGGAAUGCGCAGAUAUCAGGAGGAACACCGAUGGCGAAGGCAGGUCUCUGGGCUGUAACUGACGCUGAGAAGCGAAAGCAUGGGGAGCGAACAG
Molecule: ribosomal RNA, 252 nt
Filed under: uncultured bacterium
Lineage: Bacteria
Description: partial 16S ribosomal RNA
Rfam family: Bacterial small subunit ribosomal RNA
Source: RNAcentral